RNAcentral lists this ribosomal RNA (465 nucleotides) under uncultured bacterium. RNAcentral describes it as "partial 16S ribosomal RNA". It matches the Rfam family "Bacterial small subunit ribosomal RNA", at positions 338 to 795 of the family's 1533-position model. The record is from RNAcentral.
CCUACGGGUGGCAGCAGUAGGGAAUCUUCCACAAUGGACGAAAGCCUGAUGGAGCAACGCCGCGUGAGUGAAGAAGGCUUUCGGCUCGUAAAGCUCUGUUGGUAGUGAAGAAAAGUAGAGGUUGUAUCUUGCCUUUAUUAGACCUUAAUACUUUAGAACGUCAAGGCUAAUUCCGUGCCAGCAGCCGCUGUAAUACGUAGGUGGCUAGCGUUGUCCGGAUUUAUUGGGCGUAAGGCGAGUGCAGGCGGUCCAAUAAGUCUGAUGUGAAAGCCUUCGGCUCAACCGGAGAAUUGCAUCAGAAACUGUUGAACUUGAGUGCAGAAGAGGAGGGUGGAACUCCAGGUGUAGCGGUGGAAUGCGUAGAUAUAAGGAAGAACACCAGUGGCGAAGGCGGUCUGCUGGACAGCAACUGACGCUGAGGCGCGAAAGCGUGGGGAGCAAACAGGAUUAGAUACCCGAGUAGUC